AUUUUAAUUAAUGUACAUAUGGUAAUAUUUUUUUAUUUUAUAAAAAUUAUAUUUCAAAAUAGAAAAAUCUAAAAGGAAGCUUUUUGUAAAUUAACAACUUAAUAAAUUAAUAUAAUACGAUAGUUACAACAUUAUUAAUUUAUUGAAUUUUAGUGUACAACAAUAAUGGCUAUGCACAAAAAAAUAAAAAUAAAUCAUGGAUGAAUUUUACCAUUUUACCUUGUGUAGUAAAAAUGAAUUAAAAUGUCAUUAUAUAUGUAUGCAUUAAAGAAGCCUUAAAUCUGCUAUUUCUUCAUUAUACAAUGCAGUUAAGACUAGAGUGAAUUGGGCCAAAAUCCCAUAAGAAGUUACAAAUUAGGGGAAUGCACAAUGAAACAAAAUUGUGGGCUUUAGAAAACAUCCAUGAGAUGAGAAAUGUCGAUAGUAUCCUUAUGCCUGAUAAGAAAGAGAAUGACGACGUAACCGGUUGCAUCGGGUCAUCAGGUUAAUCGAAUUAUAUAUAUAAAAAAAAGUAAAUAUGUAAAAGGUGUAAUGAUUAACCUAGUAUUUAUCCCGCCGUUACUUUAGGUUAGGGCGGCUAUAAACGAGCGUGGCCAAUGAGCUGUGUCGUUGCAUUGUCACGACGUCUGCAUGUUGAGGAAGAUCGGUGCAAAAGAUCUUGUGUCGGCAUGCGAGAAGUUUGUGUAUGGGAGUCGAAACGAAACUUCUUGUGGGGAUCCUCUAUAAAAGGAAGACAACCAAGAGCUGCUGCAAUAAACACUCAGAGAUUCAGCGACAAAACUCAAGGUAUUUAUUACCGACAUUCUUAAAUAAUAGAAUGUUCUUGACAGUGUAUUUACUUUCUUUCACUGAUCUGAUGUUGUUGUGUCGUGUCUUAAUACUGAAUCAUUGUUCUCACCUGACAUUAAUGGCUUGCAUGCAAUCACAUAUAUAUCAUUACUCGCAUUUAAUUGUUUUAGCCGCUACAAACUUAUUUUGUUUGUUAUUUUUUGACUCUGAUUACAAGGAUGGUUCGUUGUGUGCGUCUUUGGAGAGGUGAAUGGAAGAAGAGUGUUGAUCAAGAGUGGGAUUUCGUUACGGACCCCGAAGAUUACGGUUAUAGGGUGUUGGUGAGUAAAAGUGCAAGCUUUGAGGCGGUAGACCAACUCGUGCGCCGCCGUUACAGUCUCGGACCGCGAACUCCGGUGGUCGUCUCUUACCGUCUUCCAAGCUGGCUGCUCGUCCCACAGGGGAACAAAACCCCUCCGUUGACGAUCAAUGACACUGCUCGACUCUCUAUGGUGCUGAAUGUGAGGACUUGGUUAGACGAGCUUGCUCUACUUGUCACCAUAGGAGCAAAGGGGGUAGCGGAGUAUCAAUUUCUGUGUCGGACAAAUUUUACUGUUGGAGCUACUUCGUAUGUGUUUGACGAGUCUGCAACGGAUAACUCGAGAGCCGCUUAUGAAAGUCUUGUGUUUGGAGAUCGUGGAGCCCAGAUGGAGAGGGUUAUGAAUGCCAUAUUCCCCGAGGAAGGAAUGCUCCUUUUUCACAGAGUUUCAUUAGAAAUGUCUUUCGCUGACAACUUUCUGGUGAACCGGAACCGUAGAACCCCACCACCGAGGGAGAUAAUAGAGCUGGAUGACGAUGAUGAUGAGAUGGGUGAGGGAAGUCAACCAACUAUGCGAACAGGUAAUAGGUUUGGAAAUGUGUUUUGCAUGUUGGGAAACAGUAUGUUAGCAAUCUAAGCUUAUGGUUAGCAAACAUAUGUUAGUCUUCCAUUUGUUAAGGAGUUUUGUUAGCAUGGUAUUAUAGGUUAGCUUGCUAAAUGGCUGGUAGAAGAAGUUUUAGCAAUCUAAUCUUUUGCAUGCAACGUGACACGCUUUUAAAUAAUGCUAUCGUCUAGCAUGGAAGUAGCAGAACCAAAUUUGAAAUGUUAAUGAAGUUAUAUUCUGCAUUAAAUUAGACUAAUCAAACGUUGGGUCGACGAAUGAUAUGAUAUAGUAGACAUACUAGAUGAUUAACGUAUUGAUUUUUUGUUAGCUUGCUAAACGUUAUACAUGGUAGCUACAAGAUAUUCUUAAAAGUAGAUAAAUUUUUGUUAGCUUGCUAAUCGUUGCAUUUUUGUUUUGAACCUACCGUUUAGCUUGAUAGUCUUCAUACCUGCAUGGUAACAAAAUUACUUAGGUUGAUAACAUUUUACACGGAAGACGGCACUAGAAAUUUUUUUUUAACUAAAAUAUGUACAAAUGUCAACCAGCUAAGGCUAAGUUAGAAAGUGGUAAUUAAAAAGCGAAUAAAAUUGAAAAUUAAAAUGCUAAGAAACUGUCUUAAGUAGGAAUUGCUUUUGCUUUAGCAUGUGAGGGCGGUGCUGCAAAUGCUCCGAGAGGACGUAAUGCACAGGCAGAGGCGCCUCCCAUUUUUUGGGAUGUUGGGAUGAACGUGGUUGAUUACACAGCUCGCAGGGGCUCACCCCUCCCAACUGAAGCAAGAGUGGAAAAUGGGAUGAUGUUUUGGGAAGGACUCGCUAAUGAAGAGGAGGCGCUUGCAGAAGAAACGAAUGUUGUUAUGGAAGCAGAGAAUCUAAAUGUGGGUGUCGCGGUUGGGGUGACCGACAACAUUGCGUUGGCCAACAAUGUUGUCAACCCCACCGUACAAGCGGUUCGUGUUGACGAUGGAGGGGGGUCAUCGACGGGGUCAACCGACCUUAUCUUGACUACUGGUCGUCACCAAGUCAAGCUCCCGAAUAAUGUGCAAGUUGGAAAUGAGGAAUCUCCCAUCAUCCAUGGGCCCAGCAGAGGUGAACAAUUAUAUUUUUGAGCGUUAAUAUCUAGAAAUCUUCUCAUAGCAUUAUGACUGAAAGUAGCAGGUAUAAGUUUGUUGUUAAUAUUUGAAUAUGUGGCAGAGCUGGUAGCGGCACAGGGACUUGUAUUAGCUUCCACCGCUGUGGCUGGUAGUGGUAGGACUGUGUCAGAAGCGACGCUGCCAUCUAUGAUGAAAUUAGCCAUGUGCUGCGCGGUGAAAGAGGGUGGAACAAGCCGUGCUGUGAACAGAGCAACAGAAACAUCUUCCGAGGGGAGUACCACUGACGGUGGGUGUUGAGUCUUUCUUGUGCUUAUUUUGGGGUUGUGUUUUCCGUUAGUCCAAAUGCUUUUGGUGUUGUGUUUUAUGUUGCUGAAAUUAUGUUGUCGGGACCGUUGGAUGUAAUGCUAAACUUAAGUAUGGGUAUCUAAAGUCUGUUUCUUCCGGAUUAGAUGUUUUGUUGUAAGGUCUAUCAUCAUAACAGUUGUUUGUUUCGAUGGCUGAAUUUUUAAUAUUAGACAAACGGGUAAUAUCUUUCAAUGGUCAUGAACAAACUGUUUUAGCAUGCUAAUCAUUUUCGAACACGGAAAAAUAUUAAUUACAAGUUAGAAUUUAGUUCGGUGGUACAAGAUACCAUGGUAAUCAUUUGAGAUGUCGACUAAAAUUGAGUACAAGUUAGAAGUCUAUAAUCAUAACUGUUGUUGGUGUGGAUGGCUGAAUUUUUGAUAUAAGACAAUCGGUAAUCUCUGUCAAUAGGCGUGUACAAAACAUUUUAGCGUGCUAGGUCAUUUUCGAACGUUGCUGGUUAGCAGUGCAAUAACAUUGGUGUGGCGUAUAACAUUUCUUUUAGCAAAAGUUAAACAAUGUUGUACCGUUAGACGUUGUUGUUAAAAUUACUGAAUCGUAAAGCCAAAAAUAUAUUACAGGUUAGCAAAUUAAAACAAUGCUGUAGCGUAUUUGUUGUUCGUUUUAACCUGGAAUUCGAGAUUAGCAUUUUGUAGUUACGAGUGACGCUAAAGCAUUGUUUUAUACAGAGGACAUUGGAAAUUAUGGCAACGAAGUUGCCGUUGGAAUGAUGUUCAGGAAUAGGGAUGCAUUCAAGCAACAUAUGGCGCUUUAUGCUAUAACCAGGAAGUUCCAAUACAGGAGUCGGAAGUCGGAGCCAGGGCUGAUGGUUUUGGAAUGUUGUGGGGACGAUUGCCCAUGGAGGGUGUAUGCAGUGAAGCUCAAGGAGGCUGAUGUUUUCGAGAUAAGAAAGGUCGUGCCUGACCAUUUGUGUACCGUGGAUGAGCGCGGAGGCUACCAGACCCAAGCCACAUCUUCGGUGAUUGGAGAGCUCAUGAGAAGUAAGUUCGGUGGUUCUUGUGGGGGGCCAAAGCCAAGGGAGAUAAGACAGAUGAUGCGUGGUGACCAUGAUGUAGAUAUAUCAUACUGGAAGGCGUGGCGUUCUAGAGAUGUGGCGAUUGACAAGGCGAAGGGGACUAGUCAAUCAUCAUACAGACAGCUGCCUGACUACCUACACCGACUUGCAGCUGCAAACCCCGGAACAAUUACAAAAUUGUUGACAGAACCGGUGGAAGGUGGUGCAAGCCGGUUCAAAUAUAUGUUUGUGGCCUUUGGUGCGUCUGUUCAAGGAUACGCAUUUAUGAGGAAAGUCGUUGUCGUAGAUGGAACACACUUGAAAGGAAAAUAUGCGGGUUGUUUACUAACUGCAUCCGCUCAAGAUGGGAACUAUCAGAUUUUCCCGCUUGCCUUCGCCAUUGUUGACAGCGAGAACGAUAUGUCUUGGGAAUGGUUUUUCAAACAGUUGUCUGUUUUUGUGGCCGGGAGCGAGGGAUUAGUGUUUGUAUCUGAUAGACACACCUCAAUUUUCAAAGCGGUUAGCAAGGUAUAAUAGAGUUUAUAUUAUAUUUUCAUUUAUUUCUGUGUCUACCAUUAUUGCGAGUAAGGCUAACAAUGUAGUUGUUGUGUCUACAGGUUUUCCCUUCAGCAGGCCACUGUAUUUGUGUUGUUCAUCUGAAGAGAAACAUUCGUUCCAACUUCAAGGCUCGUCACUUGGAGUAUCUAGUCGCCAAGGCUGCAAGGGCGUUCAGGCUGCAAGAAUUUUAUAGCAUCUUCAAUGAGAUUAAGACAAUGGAUCCAAAAUGUGCAGAGUAUCUGCUAGAUGUUGGGGUGGAGCAUUGGGCCAGGUCGCAUUUCUCAGGUAAUCGUUACAAUGUAAUGACGAGUAAUCUCGCAGAAUCUUGGAAUUCGGUGUUGCGUGAAGCCAGAGAAUAUCCGGUGAUACCGUUGAUUGAGUUCAUUCGUGGGAAGUUGACUGCUUGGUUUGCAUCUCGUCGGGAGGCGGCGCAAAAGAAUAGUGGAAAACUUACACCUAAGGUCUCGGGUAUUGUUACUGACAAUUUUGAGCAGACUGGUGGAUACCUGGUUACUAUGAUAGGAGAGGAUGAGUAUGAGGUGAGGAACAAAAACGGAGCAGGUUUUCAUGUUGAUCUGGUCAACAAAACUUGUAGCUGCGGUGAAUUCCAAAUGCUUUCUAUACCGUGUUCUCACGCUAUAGCUUCAGCAAUUAAAGGAAAGAUUGGUGUUGAUUCAUUGGUUUCGCCUGCUUAUACGGUUGAGAAACUCAGGUCUGCAUAUGCAGGGAGCGUUUUGCCAGUGCCUGAUUUCACUGGAUUGGCAGAUUUGGUCACUGAUUUCGGUGGAAUGCAGUUGUGUCCUCCUUUGACAAGGCGACCACCUGGGAGGCCGAAGAAGCAAAGGUUCUUUUCAAGGGGGGAGAAGAUUGUAAGUGAAAGCCGAUUUGACAAUGUAAUGAAAUGAUUAUCGAUGCAAACGUAUUUUAGAAGAGCUAACUUGAAAAAUGUUUUACAGAUGAAGCGAAUGCGCAGAAGGACAGUGUGCAGCCGGUGCAAGGGUUUUGGACACAACAAAGCCACUUGCAAGGAAGCUAUAUAAAACGAAAGGGAUGGAUUGUGGAGGGGUUUUAAGGCAACAGAGGAGUUGUAAUGGAAAGUGGCGGAAUCAUGAAGUGGCUUGACUAAUAAUCUUGUGUGAUAUUAUGUUGGUACUUGUUCUCUUCAUGAAAGGGUUGUAGGAUUAAGGUUGUAUUGCCAUGUAUAAAAAAAAUAAAAAAUUUCCUCCAUACGUGUGUUCGUUGUUACAUGCUAAACUUUUUUAUUUUAUUUGUUAAACAAAUAGUUGCCGGGCUUUGCGUAUUGACAAAAUGGCAGAAAAUCCCCAUAGCACAUUAUCAUACUUGAAUGUAGUAGGCAUGCUGUGUAAAACACCAUUCCAAAUCGUGGCAAUAUAUUCGUAUGAUUUGAAAAAUGAGUUUCAAGAAAGUGUAACAAACAAGUGAUCUAACAAUAUUUACAAGAAUGUAUCAUUAUACGUACUUUAGAGUAAAGUUGAAGUGAAUCUCGUGACUUGUGUGUACGAAUACAUGUUAGCAAAAUUAAUUGAAGCCGUUUCUUGAAAGGAGAUAUUCAGUUUGUUAAGUAUAUAUGUUGGCUUGCUAACAUAUUAAUAUGAAUGAUUAGAGGAGUAUUAUUUGUGGACUUGCUAACAAUAUUAAGAAGAUGAAUUUGAAAGACAAAUAUUUUGGUGAGAGACAGUAAUUUGGCAAGCUAAAUAUCGUAACUCACACAUAAUCGUAGGAAAAUGAAUCCCACAUCAUUUGCUAACUAAGAUCAUAGAUAAUUUGUAGCCGGUUUAACGAAGAGACGAAGUUUGAUAACAUAACCACUAUAAAUUUGUAGCCCUGUUAAACAAUGUCUAUUGUUGAUCUGGGCAUACAAAACAACAUGAUAUAACAAUGUUUGUUUGAAAUUUGAAAGCAAAACAUUAAAACAUUAGAUAAGAUAGAGUAGUAAGAUAACCAAAUGAUAAGAGAAAAU
This is a long non-coding RNA of Brassica rapa (field mustard), 6677 nucleotides long. RefSeq lists it as uncharacterized. Lineage: Eukaryota; Viridiplantae; Streptophyta; Magnoliopsida; Brassicales; Brassicaceae. The record is from RefSeq and is a predicted model, not a curated record.